RNAcentral lists this ribosomal RNA (387 nucleotides) under uncultured bacterium. Its description in RNAcentral is "bacterial SSU rRNA". It matches the Rfam family "Bacterial small subunit ribosomal RNA", at positions 30 to 417 of the family's 1533-position model. The record is from RNAcentral.
AUUGAACGCUGGCGGCAUGCUUUACACAUGCAAGUCGAACGGCAGCGCGGGGGCAACCCUGGCGGCGAGUGGCGAACGGGUGAGUAAUGCAUCGGAACGUAUCCUGUAAUGGGGGAUAACGUAGCGAAAGUUACGCUAAUACCGCAUACGCUCGAGAGAGGAAAGUGGGGGAUCGCAAGACCUCACGUUAUAGGAGCGGCCGAUGUCCGAUUAGCUAGUUGGUGGGGUAAAGGCCUACCAAGGCGACGAUCGGUAGCUGGUCUGAGAGGACGACCAGCCACACUGGAACUGAGACACGGUCCAGACUCCUACGGGAGGCAGCAGUGGGGAAUUUUGGACAAUGGGCGCAAGCCUGAUCCAGCCAUUCCGCGUGCAGGAUGAAGGCCU